CUCGUGUCGUGAGAUGUUGGGUUAAGUCCCGCAACGAGCGCAACCCUACUUGCUAGUUACCAUCAUUAAGUUGGGGACGUCUAGCGAGACUGCCAGUGAUAAACUGGAGGAAGGUGGGGAUGACGUCAAAUCAUCAUGCCCCUUAUGACCUGGGCUACAAACGUGAUACAAUGGCUGGAACAAAGGGAUGCGAAGCAGUGAUGUGGAGCGAAACCCAUAAAAACAGUCUCAGUUCGGAUUGAAGUCUGCAACUCGACUUCAUGAAGUCGGAAUCGCUAGUAAUCGCGGAUCAGAACGCCGCGGUGAAUACGUUCUCGGGGUUU
RNAcentral lists this ribosomal RNA (323 nucleotides) under uncultured Acholeplasma sp. RNAcentral describes it as "bacterial SSU rRNA". It matches the Rfam family "Bacterial small subunit ribosomal RNA", at positions 1059 to 1382 of the family's 1533-position model. Lineage: Bacteria; Bacillati; Mycoplasmatota; Mollicutes; Acholeplasmatales; Acholeplasmataceae. The record is from RNAcentral.